RNAcentral lists this long non-coding RNA (2887 nucleotides) under Homo sapiens (human). Its description in RNAcentral is "HSALNT0377069". The record is from RNAcentral. Lineage: Eukaryota; Metazoa; Chordata; Mammalia; Primates; Hominidae.
CUCUGAAACUUCCUCCCUGUCCAGUGUUAUCUACCUUGGAACGAUUGUCUCAUUUAGAGGGACUCUCUAACCUGAGUACACAUUUGAAACAUCUGAGGGCUUUGAAACAUACCUGCUCCUGGACCACCUGCUGAACCAAUUAAAUCAGAAUUUCUGUUGUGAAGAUCUCCACGUGAGUUUAAGCUUUCCUGCUCAACUGUUAGUUCCAUGAAGGCAACAGCCAUGCCUGCUUCGUUCACUGAAAUAUCUUCGUUUCCUAACACACAGAAAGUCAUCAUUUUUUGACGGAUGAAAGAAUGGAUGAAUGCCUAGUCUUGGAGACAUCUACUUGCAAUAAAGGUUAGAUGAAGGAAAUGGAUGCCAGUGGGAGAUUUGUGGAUCUAUUUCACCAGAUUUCACUCUGCUGACUCAGCAAAAUGGUCCCCGAAGAAAGUGAAGAAACAGAGGCAAAGGGAGCAUAAGCAAUUUUCCAAAGGCCAUACAACAUGUAAGUGGCUGAGCCAAGACUGAAAUCACCAGGUUCUUAACCACUAGGCCAUAUUGCAUUGGAGUGUUGCCUCCUGGAGUAAGACUAGGCUAAAAGCUUCAUAGAAACCUAAAGGAGUUAGAGAAGGAAGAUCUCUCAAUGGAAAUGCUAAGAAGAGACACAAGGAAAGACACAUCACUAAGGAGAGACCCAAGGAAAAUGGCUCUAUGACUACAGUCCAUUUAAAGAAUGAGGGCGUUCCUUCUACCAAGUUACAGGUGGAGAUGUGUUUACCUGCUGGAUACCAAUGCUUCUAGCAUCAGGGAGAAGUUGAGCCCUGGAGGAAACAUUGCCUCUAAGUUUGUGUUCUGAUGGAGAUGAUGACUACUUCACAGGCACUUUGCAAGGUCUGAUGACAUUGACAAUACAUUGGACAAAGAGCAAAGGAAGAGGAGUCUGCAAAACAACAACAACAACAACAGAAAAAAACAAAAUAAAACAAAGGGUCAUCGGAAGAGUAACAGGAGAAAGAAGAGUUAAUGUGUGGUGGAAUCCUUGGGAAAGCAUGAGUCAAGAAGUAUAGUAUACACAAUUCAGAUAACCAAGGGGUUACUUCCAAAAGGAUGAAUGUAUUUGUAGGCAAGGCGCAUGGAAAUAAGCUUUCCUGAAAUCCCACGUAACCCACAAUAGCUCUCAAAAGCUUCAAAAAAUAGUGAUGAAAAAGGUUAACUCUGAUGCUGUUCUGGAGCUGAAAGCAGAUUUUGACCUUGGAUAAACAUGCUGGAUUUUCGCUAUUGAAUGUAUUGGGCACAAUUCAAGGUGCUACAUACUGCAAAGCAAAGUAUCUACAACAACUGCAAUAAGCCACCCUGAUCAUUCUUCAACCUAAAGAUUUGCAACUCAUCCAAGUUCAACUGGUUGAAAGAGCCUGCCUCCUCACAGCAGUGCCUGAUUGACACUAUGAACUGAAAUACUAAAGGCACUUCUUCUUUCAGGAUAACUGAUUAAAUGUUCUGGCUGGUAAAGCAGGUCAUCACUCAACUGUUGUGGCUUUGGCAAGAUGCCACCAAAGCAGCCCAUCAUGGUUGGCAGAGAUGUAAAGGCCCCACAUAUUACAGAACACCCUUUGAUAUGCAGACUAAUUAAUAGAAGACCUAAGCCUUUCAAGGGACUUCUAUACCAUAGGAUGUUAGGAGACAUCAAGAACACAAAUGAAACUAAGAUUUUCAUACAGGGUUCAGGUUUUGUUACUUCAGAUCUAUAAUCUAAAGUUCUGUAAUCAUCACAUCACUCCAAGAACAAAAUUUGAUAGGCAAAAUUCUUCACACUCAUUUCAUGGAGAACCUUGAGGGUCCAGAGUGAGGCUUGAUGGCAAGCAGGAGCUCCCUGUCCCCUGUCUCCACCCAUGCAACCCCUAGCUCCCCCAUUGUUUUCACUCUAGAUUUGUGAAGUAUAACAACCUUAAAAUCUUAAGAUUUAAUCUUUAAAUAUUAAGAGAUUUGGGUUUCUGUAUCAACAAUCUUUAAAUAUUAAGAGAUUUUUCCGAAGAUUAAUGACUUUCCUAGAGUUGGCCUACAAAUUCACCACCUCAACUGGAUGACUUGCUUUGGAAUAAAUUUCUAACACCGCAAGUGAAUUGAAUAUUUUCUUCCUUUUUUAUGUAAUCUAAUAUAGUACAUUUUUAAAAAUUUAUAGGAUGUCCAGACACUUAUAGCUUAUCAUUCUAUGAUUCAAAAGAAUUUGGUAUAAUUGCAUUGAUAAGCUUACUGCCCUGGGCACCAAAGUAACCUAGAAUAUGGAGAAGUAGCUUUUGGUGACAUGCAUCUAUUUAUAUCUCUAGCAUUUACUAAUUAAUUAAUUUGUUUAACAAAUACACAUUCAGUACCAUUAUAUGUUUGGCAUUGUCAUAGAUGUUAGAAAAUCAAAUAUAAAAAAGAGGUAAUUUCUUCACAACACACGGAAAUAAGAGUAUCUCUAGGAAUUGUCUCUAGUUGAAAUUGUUUUCUCCUACCCACCUCUACGAUUCAUCAAUUUAGCUUUCCUUCACUGUAGUGACAGGUGUUUUAAUCUCACCUAACAAUAUGCCUGAUUAAGCUUCAACAUACACAGAGAGAGGCCUGAAAAACAUAACUUGGUCUCUAUGUCUAAGUUUAUGUUGUUAGUAAUAGUUAUAAGAGCCACAGCGAUGGCACCAUGGCGUUACCUUCUCUGAAGGCUUUCCCAGCUUUCCUAGCAAAGCUCUUUUCUCUUCCCUCUGGUUAAAAAAUAAAUAAAAAAAAAAUAAAGGUUUUUCCUUUAUUGUUAUUCUUAUGUGUCUGAUUUUAUCACAUUUAUUGUUUUGUUUUCUGAUUGUAUAAGUCAUACAUGCUCAUUUAGAAAACUUGGAAACUAUGGAAAAAGAGAAAUAAAAAAUAAAAUCCA